GUGUAAUAAGAUAGAUGCUGUUUCAAUCUAAAGGAUGAAGUUAAAGUGCUAGUAAAAAUUCUAGUUUGUGACUUGGGACGAUAAGACCCUAUGAAUUUUAAACUCUUUGGGGUUCAAGCAAUAAAUUCGAAUAGAUUUUUAACUGGGGCAGUGAGAGUAAAUUUAACUACAUUUAUAAAAACCUAAAUUAGGAUAGGUAAAGCUAGUAUACUACAGAAAUCAAAAUACUCUAGGGAUAACAGCGUAAUUAUAGCGGAGAGGUCUUAUCGAUGCUGUAGUUUGCGA
Molecule: ribosomal RNA, 285 nt
Filed under: Harmelinella mariannae
Lineage: Eukaryota; Metazoa; Arthropoda; Malacostraca; Mysida; Mysidae
Description: partial 16S ribosomal RNA
Rfam family: Bacterial large subunit ribosomal RNA
Source: RNAcentral